Dallia pectoralis (Alaska blackfish) is the source of this 66-nucleotide non-coding RNA. The record is from the annotation of a GenBank genome assembly. NCBI's taxonomy places the organism in Eukaryota, Metazoa, Chordata, Actinopteri, Esociformes, Umbridae.
GGCGCUGUGGCUUAGAGCGACUGUCUAGUAAACAGGAGAUCCGGAGUUCGAAUCUUAGCAGUGCCU